GCUGGCGGCAGGCUUAACACAUGCAAGUCGAGCGGGCGUAGCAAUACGUCAGCGGCAGACGGGUGAGUAACGCGUGGGAACGUACCUUUUGGUUCGGAACAACACAGGGAAACUUGUGCUAAUACCGGAUAAGCCCUUACGGGGAAAGAUUUAUCGCCGAAAGAUCGGCCCGCGUCUGAUUAGCUAGUUGGUGAGGUAACAGCUCACCAAGGCGACGAUCAGUAGCUGGUCUGAGAGGAUGAUCAGCCACAUUGGGACUGAGACACGGCCCAAACUCCUACGGGAGGCAGCAGUGGGGAAUAUUGGACAAUGGGCGCAAGCCUGAUCCAGCCAUGCCGCGUGAGUGAUGAAGGCCCUAGGGUUGUAAAGCUCUUUUGUGCGGGAAGAUAAUGACGGUACCGCAAGAAUAAGCCCCGGCUAACUUCGUGCCAGCAGCCGCGGUAAUACGAAGGGGGCUAGCGUUGCUCGGAAUCACUGGGCGUAAAGGGUGCGUAGGCGGGUCUUUAAGUCAGGGGUGAAAUCCUGGAGCUCAACUCCAGAACUGCCUUUGAUACUGAGGAUCUUGAGUUCGGGA
RNAcentral lists this ribosomal RNA (574 nucleotides) under uncultured soil bacterium. RNAcentral's name for it is "bacterial SSU rRNA". It matches the Rfam family "Bacterial small subunit ribosomal RNA", at positions 35 to 653 of the family's 1533-position model. The record is from RNAcentral.